GAUGAACGCUAGCGGCAGGCCUAACACAUGCAAGUCGAGGGGUAGAAGGAGCUUGCUCCUUUGAGACCGGCGCACGGGUGCGUAACGCGUAUGCAAUCUACCUUGUACAGGGGAAUAGCCCAGAGAAAUUUGGAUUAAUGCCCCAUAGUAUAUAACCUUCGCAUGUUGGUUAUAUUAAAGUUCCAACGGUACAAGAUGAGCAUGCGUCCCAUUAGUUAGUUGGUAAGGUAACGGCUUACCAAGACGAUGAUGGGUAGGGGUCCUGAGAGGGAGAUCCCCCACACUGGUACUGAGACACGGACCAGACUCCUACGGGAGGCAGCAGUGAGGAAUAUUGGGCAAUGGUCGCAAGACUGAACCAGCCAUGCCGCGUGCAGGAAGACGGUCCUAUGGAUUGUAAACUGCUUUUAUACAGGAAGAAACCCUCCCACGUGUGGGAGCUUGACGGUACUGUAGGAAUAAGGAUCGGCUAACUCCGU
RNAcentral lists this ribosomal RNA (479 nucleotides) under uncultured bacterium. RNAcentral describes it as "partial 16S ribosomal RNA". It matches the Rfam family "Bacterial small subunit ribosomal RNA", at positions 28 to 506 of the family's 1533-position model. The record is from RNAcentral.